RNAcentral lists this ribosomal RNA (468 nucleotides) under uncultured bacterium. Its description in RNAcentral is "partial 16S ribosomal RNA". It matches the Rfam family "Bacterial small subunit ribosomal RNA", at positions 28 to 507 of the family's 1533-position model. The record is from RNAcentral.
GACGAACGCUGGCGGCGUGCUUAACACAUGCAAGUCGAACGGAAAGGCCCUGCUUUUGUGGGGUGCUCGAGUGGCGAACGGGUGAGUAACACGUGAGUAACCUGCCCUUGACUUUGGGAUAACUUCAGGAAACUGGGGCUAAUACCGGAUAGGAGCUCCUGCUGCAUGGUGGGGGUUGGAAAGUUUCGGCGGUUGGGGAUGGACUCGCGGCUUAUCAGCUUGUUGGUGGGGUAGUGGCUUACCAAGGCUUUGACGGGUAGCCGGCCUGAGAGGGUGACCGGCCACAUUGGGACUGAGAGACGGCGCAGAGUCCUACGGGAGGCAGCAGUGGGGAAUAUUGCACAAUGGGCGGAAGCCUGAUGCAGCAACGCCGCGUGCGGGAGGACGGCCUUCGGGUUGUAAACCGCUUUAGCCUGUGACGAAGCGUGAGUGACGGUAAUGGGUAAAGAAGCACCGGCUAACUACGUG